RNAcentral lists this transfer RNA (73 nucleotides) under Camelus bactrianus (Bactrian camel). It matches the Rfam family "tRNA". From Rfam's summary of the family: Transfer RNA (tRNA) molecules are approximately 80 nucleotides in length. Their secondary structure includes four short double-helical elements and three loops (D, anti-codon, and T loops). Lineage: Eukaryota; Metazoa; Chordata; Mammalia; Artiodactyla; Camelidae. The record is from Rfam by way of RNAcentral. RNAcentral also lists the same sequence under 2 other names.
GAGGGUAUAGCUCAAGUCGUAGAGCAUAUGCUUGGCAUGCAGAAGGUCCUGGGUUCAAUCCCCAGUACCUCCU